GCAGAGGUCCGAGGCCCAACUGAAAGAGCCCAAACGCUAGCCUCAUUCACCCUACGGGAUCACACCAGAUCGUCAACCGCCCUCAUCCCCUCUCUCCUCACGCCAAUCCAAACCCUAGCCAUCGCCGCCAUCGCCGAGUACCAGGCCUCCGGGGAACGCCUCAUCGGCCUGCAUGUCGAUCCACACCGCCCUGCUCUGUGCGUCACCCUCCCCACGGAGGCGAAGGCGCCCUGCGCCGGAGAUCGCGGGAUGGUUCCACGCGGCUCCUAGGCUACCAGCUGGCCAUACGGAUCUUGCCAAGAUCGCUUCCUCACUCCUCUUCCCUGAAGGCGACAACGACUGUGGAGGAGGCAGCGGGGGUCAGCGAAGAGGUGGUCGCGUUCACGCGGGGCGCAGCCUCGCGGCCCGAGUUAUGUCUCAUCUUCCCCCCUCCCCGACGACGCGGACUCCCAUGGUUUGUGGCUUCGUGAUUCAUCAUAUUGGAACCCCUCGCCGCCUUCCCAGCCAGCGCCAGCACCCCCACCCAGCGACCCCGCCGUCGCCGGUGACCAGCCCCAACCCCAUCACAAGGCCGGCGACAAGGAAGCGGAUGUUGCCACCGCCGAAACUGAUGGGUACAAGGCGGGGUCGUCCUCAUCGCACCUGUCUCAACUGCUCCGGGAGGUAGGCAUCGACGACUCCUGGCUGCUUGUGCUGCUGUUACUUGCAGGCAGGCUCUGAAUGUUGCCAAUAGGCUCUGAAUGCUGCUGCUACAUAGCCAAGCUUGUCAGCAUUGCGACCCUUGGUGGAUGAAUAGGGUCUGCAAUAGGUGAAUGUUCUUGUUUUUCAUCUUCAGAUGAUGCAUGUUCCAUUGGACGUAUCAGUAUAGUUGCAACCAAGGAUUUGUUCAUUUUCUUUUCCCCUUUUGACUGUGUCAGGGAAAUUGGAAUUAAGGGCUUCAGACAUUUUUUAAGUGCAUUGUACUUUUUUUCAUGGCCUACUCUUUGUGAAUUAUCAUGUCAAUCAUGGGCAUUGGUAAUAUCUUGCCCGUCAGGUGGCGUUAACACAUUGUGUUGAUGAACCUAAAGACGUACGGAGUGCUCGAAAGGGUGUUGUAAACAUGUUCUGAGAUGUGGCUAUGAUAAUCUAAAGUUAUCUCCUAUAUUGCAGUUAUCCAGAACCGCGUCGCCCCUCCAUUCAUCCUUGACAACGCUGCCUGUGUUGCUUUACGUGUUCAGGGCUUCAGCAAUCCAGGUGCCACCAGUGUGGGCGCGACCCAUCAUGAGUCGAUGCUGGCGAGCCAGCCAUAGCGCGACAUCUGAUGCUUCUGCUUCCUUACAUGAACAUGCAUCAAUAAGUCAGCCAUCUAGCCCUACUUACUGUAACCAGCAUGCAUGAUCCACCUCUGUAAUUUUUAUUUCCUAAAUAUGUGUUUUUAUGCUAAUUUGAAUACGCUAUUACGCCCAAUUACUAGAUCGCGCGUAUGCUCCGCUUUGUAAACACGUAGACCACCAAUCUGAUCUUCUAACUCAAGUUUGCAUUCAGUUUAGACUUUAGGUUAUGUUAGUCAUAACAAACUUGAAAAGACAUAUUAACAAGGAAAGAUCAUCUUAACAGUUCAUGUUACAUUUGCAGAUAUGGACCUCGGUGGUUUUCUCCACAUUAGGAAAGCUGGAAGAGCCUUUUCAACUCAGUUUUUUUGCUAACAGUGGUGUUAUGGUGAAACAGAGUUUUGUGUGUAUGUACCAACAGCUAAAAUGUAAACACGACAUUAUCAUAGUUGAGUAUAGGAAUAAUUAUCUCUUAUAUCUUAUUGCAAAAUC
Molecule: long non-coding RNA, 1802 nt
Organism: Zea mays
Lineage: Eukaryota; Viridiplantae; Streptophyta; Magnoliopsida; Poales; Poaceae
Exons: 3
Source: RefSeq, a predicted model, not a curated record